Molecule: non-coding RNA, 484 nt
Organism: Macaca mulatta (Rhesus monkey)
Lineage: Eukaryota; Metazoa; Chordata; Mammalia; Primates; Cercopithecidae
Source: RefSeq, a predicted model, not a curated record
CUAUUUGAGUCCCUGGCAGCAUCUGUCCGAUAUAAUCUGACUCUCUAUCCCCACCCAAAUCUCAUCUCAAAUUAUAAUACCCGUGUGUCAAGGGAGGGAUCUGUAAUCCCCAUGUAUCAGGGGAGGGAGGUGAUUGGAUGAAGGGGACAGUUAACCCCAUGGUGUUCUCGUGAUAGUGAGUGAGUUCUCACGAGAUCUGAUGGUUUCGUAAGGCAGUUUUCCCUGCUCUUGUUUACUAUCUCUCACCUGCAGCAUGUAAGAUGUGCCUGCUCCCCCUUCCGCCAUAAUUGCAAGUUUCCGAAGGCCUCCUCAGCCAUGUGGAACUGGUAAAUUUCUAAAGAAAAGGAUCUGUGAACAUUUAGGAAAGCAAGCGGUGGUCACCAGGAAUUGUGUGGAUUGCUGAUAAAGAAGUCAUUCUGCACUAACUUCAUCUCUUCUUUGGCAUUAUGGCUUAUCUGAUAAAUAAAGCAAUGCAAUAGACAUA